UGGCACUGUCUUUGAACCUGUUUGGCCUUUUUUGUGGCCUCAUAGGCCAAGCAACAGUGCAAAAUCAAGUCUGGCUUGUUAUAACUGGGGCAUCAUGGUGUAUUUCCCACGUUGCUCUUUUAAAAGCAAUCUACAAUU
This is a small nucleolar RNA of Chanos chanos (milkfish), 138 nucleotides long. Lineage: Eukaryota; Metazoa; Chordata; Actinopteri; Gonorynchiformes; Chanidae. The record is from RefSeq and is a predicted model, not a curated record.